This 207-nucleotide ribosomal RNA is filed under the name uncultured bacterium. RNAcentral's name for it is "partial 16S ribosomal RNA". It matches the Rfam family "Bacterial small subunit ribosomal RNA", at positions 568 to 774 of the family's 1533-position model. The record is from RNAcentral.
AGCGUAGACGGAAUGGCAAGUCUGAUGUGAAAGGCCGGGGCUCAACCCCGGGACUGCAUUGGAAACUGUCAAUCUAGAGUACCGGAGGGGUAAGUGGAAUUCCUAGUGUAGCGGUGAAAUGCGUAGAUAUUAGGAGGAACACCAGUGGCGAAGGCGGCCUGCUGGACUGUUACUGACACUGAGGCACGAAAGCGUGGGGAGCAAACA